UAAUACGGAGGGUGCGAGCGUUAUCCGGAAUCACUGGGUUUAAAGGGUGCGUAGGCGGUUUGAUAAGUCAGUGGUGAAAGGCCGUCGCUUAACGAUGGGACUGCCAUUGAUACUGUUAGACUUGAAUCAGGAUGAGGUUGGCGGAAUGUGGCAUGUAGCGGUGAAAUGCUUAGAUAUGCCAUGGAAUACCGAUUGCGAAGGCAGCUGACUGGACCUGAAUUGACGCUGAGGCACGAAAGCGUGGGGAGCGAACAGG
This 256-nucleotide ribosomal RNA is filed under the name uncultured bacterium. Its description in RNAcentral is "partial 16S ribosomal RNA". It matches the Rfam family "Bacterial small subunit ribosomal RNA", at positions 521 to 776 of the family's 1533-position model. The record is from RNAcentral.